GGAUGUGAGGGCGAUCUGGCUGCAACAUCUGUCACCCCACUGAUUGCCAGGGUUGAUUCUGCUGAUCUGGCUGGCUAGGCGGGUGUCCCCUUCCUCUCUCACCGCUCCAUGUGCGUCCCUCCCAAAGCUGCGCGCUCGGUCGAAGAGGACGACCAUCCUCGAUAGAGGAGGACCGGUCUUCGGUCAAGGGUAUACGAGUAGCUGCGCUCCCCUGCUAGAACCUCCAAACAAGCUCUCAAGGUCCAAAAGCUGCAUUCUGGAGUAAGACCAAGCCUGUGUCAAAAUCUGAAGCUAUCAUAUUC
RNAcentral lists this small nuclear RNA (302 nucleotides) under Aotus nancymaae (Ma's night monkey). RNAcentral describes it as "7SK RNA (ENSANAG00000004923.1)". It matches the Rfam family "7SK RNA". From Rfam's summary of the family: 7SK was discovered as an abundant small nuclear RNA in the mid-70s but a possible function has only recently been suggested. Two independent studies have found that 7SK RNA binds the CDK9/cyclin T complex (known as elongation factor P-TEFb). The record is from Rfam by way of RNAcentral. Lineage: Eukaryota; Metazoa; Chordata; Mammalia; Primates; Aotidae.